ACCUAGAAACCUUUGCACCUGUUGCCAUGAUGAAAACCAUUAGAGUUCUGCUAUCCCUUGUAGCAAAUUUUUCAUGGCCUCUGUUCCAACUGGAUGUCAAGAAUGCUUUCCUUAAUGGCGAUUUGCAGGAGGAGGUGUAUAUGGAGUUACCUCCUGGGUUUUAUGAUGAAACUAUAGGGAAUAAAGUUUGCAAAUUGCAAAAGGAUCUAUAUGGUUUAAACCAAUCUCCAAGAUCCUGGUUUGAUAGAUUUAGAUUGGCUCUUGAAAGGUUUGGUUAUGUACAGGCCCACUCCGAUCACACUCUCUUCAUUAAGAGAAAUGGUGCUUCUCUCACCCUUCUUGCAGUGUAUGUUGAUGACAUUGUUGUGACCGGUUGUGAUGCUGAUGAGAUUGAUUCUCUCAAACAAUUUCUUGAUGUGGAAUUUGAAGUGAAAGACCUUGGUGACUUGCAACAUAUCUUGGGAAUUGAAGUGGCCCUCUCUAGACAUGGUAUCUUUAUUUCACAGAGGAAAUGUCUUUGAUCUCCUUGAGGACACUGGGAAACUAGGAGUUAAACCAGUAGAAACACCUAUUAAAUUGAAUCAUAAGAUAAAUGCCAAAGGGGGCGAGCCUCUUGAAGACAAAGCCAUGUACCAACGACUAGUCGGAAAGCUCCUUUAUCUAUGUCUUACUCGUCCUGACAUCUCUUAUGUUGUUAGUGUUGUCAUCCAAUACAUGCAUUCUCCUAGAACCACUCUUCCUCUUAGUUUUCAGGUGACCCCUCCAUUUGUUCUCUUUUUUUUCCAUACAUUGCUCCAUACAUAAAACCCCUCACCUAGACCACUACGUCCCUAAAGAGAAAAAUGGUGGAUUUUUUUUUCUCCUCCUUGACCUUCAAACAAACCUGACCGUUGUUUCUACACUCCUCAAAUACGAACUUCUUUGCCUCAAAUGCCAGAUCUCUUCUCCAUCUCGCGGGUAGCUUGUAGCUUCCUUCUCUAGGUCUCUUCUCCAUCUUGCGGCACUGUGGAGGCGUUUUUUCUCGACAACCUUGGAUAAUCCUCAAGUCUGAGAUAUUAUAUUUUUACUUUCUUCAGACAUUCUUCUCUCCUUUUCCUCUCAAAUUCCUCAAAGGCUUUCCCUAGCAAAUCCCUCCGCUCCCCGAAAAAACAAUCCAAGCUUCUUACCAAUCUCUACAUCUCAAUCAACAAUCUCCUCAAUUGGCAAACUUCCUUCCCUUUCCACCAUUUUGUCAAAGAUCAGAACCAACACUUAACAGAACUGGACCUUGUGUCAUUAUUCUCCUCACCUUGGUGAACGCCUACACCUGAGGUUUGGAACUAACAAGAAUCUGAGACCCAAUCCCAUCUCCAUCGUCAACAGUCAGCCCAACUUUCUUCCUACGUUAUCUCUUGUUCACCCUUUUGAAAUUCUUUAUAGGUCCUAGCCCCACCAAACUGAUUUUUAGUUGAGAGAAAACUUUAGUUACAUGAAUAAUUUGGGAAUUUCUUGAGCCCCGAGUUGGUAACCACGACCUCUGCAGCAUCCAAAGCCUUCACAUCUAUCUUCCUUCUUCGUCUUAGAUCCACCCCUAACCUACCAAUCACCACUUCAAAAUUAAGAAGAUCAGCAUUUGUAGGAAAAGGGAAGGCAAUAAACUGAAAAGAAUAGUAGUGAAAUGGAGAAGCUGGUUACUGAGGUUUCUUAUGAGAAAGAGGAUAAAAAGAGGAAAGGGAAGAGAAGAUUGGGCUAGAAAAAGGUGCUAUUUGGGGCUUGUCUCAUUGUUUCAGCACGAAGGUAAUCAGUUGGAAUUAGAGGAUUAGGAAGUGUGAAACAAAAGACUAAUAAGGAGUGAAAAAGAGAGGUCAGAUGUACUCCUACCUAAUUCAGGAAACCAAAUUAUCAUAAUUAGAUAAAAGAUGGAUCAGGAGUGUCUGGGAAUUAGGGGCUUAAGCUGGGCUUAUGCACCUUCAUGGGGAGCUUCUGGGGGAAUUUUAACCAUUUGGAAAAUGAAGGAAUUUUAACAUAAUCAAGUUACAAGUAUAUACAAAAUAUUUGAGCCCUAUUCACCCCUAGUCAGCCAUUGUAUCUGCUACUAAAUUUGCUGAUCUAUGCACCAAUCAAUAAGUGACUAACAGUUCCCAUUUCAGCUGCCUUAUUUCCCUUGUGUCAUUUCUAGAUCUUCAUGAGCUUUCACCAACCAUGACAAAUCUUCCAAUGAAACUGUCUAAUGAUGUCAAAAUUAAGCAAAACUGUCUAAUGAAAGAAAAUGAAGAGGUUUAAGGUUUUGAAUGAUGAAGUUACCAGGUUGUUUUGCAAAAAUUUAGCCUUCUUAGAGAAGGGCACAAAUGGGGAAGAAUUGGCUUGUUUUCCUCUUGAAGUGUCCAUUCUCAAACUCAAAUCCCAUCCUCAUGCUUGAAGUACAGUAAUCACACUGUACUUUUAGGUGGUUGGUGCAUUUUGGUUCGGACAGGUAUGACAAUAACUGGUAGCAGAUGUUGCACAAAUUUAUAGGUAUGUCGUAUGUGGAUAUUUUAGGUGCCGCAGAAGGUGGCCUGAAAGGAAGGUGGAUCUGGCCAAUGAUCUUGAAUGCCACUGCCCAAGGCACUUGACAAUAAAGGAAUAAAUGGACAUUUGAAGGGAAGAAUACCUCAAUCAUGACAAAUCUUCUCCUUCAAUCUAUGCCUAAUAUUUUGGCCAUAAUACUUAUUCUAACAAUUACUCUUUUGCAGGAUUUAAACUUCCAGAUAGGUUGAAAAACUGAAGUCCUGGACCUGAGUGAGAAUUCCUCUGACAGAAGUAUUAUUCUGUAUUUGGGAGCCCUCAAAUCCCUCAGGGGUAAAAUUGGAAAUCCUGGUUGAUUCCGAUUCCAGCUUCUUGAUGAACCAAACAGCAUCAAUUGGAAACGAAUUCUGAUUCCUGUCUGAACUAAACAGAACAAUGCUGUCUGUAAAUAAUGAGCUGUAUGGGUUAAAUCAAUCAGCAGAAGGAAAAAGUGGGGAUCCAUCUUCAGCAACUAUUACCUCUGGUUGUUAUUUAUCCUGAUUCUACUACAUGUAGUUGUAAUGUCAUUGAUGUCCCUUGGGUUUCCCCCUUACUGAAGGAGUAUGAUGAUGAUAAGUUUGAAGGCCAAUUAUUUCAGUAUUCUAAUUUCUAAAGUCCUUGAGGCAUACCUUGAAGUUAGGUUUUUUAAGUAAAGUGUACGAGGUUUGUUGAGGCUCAAGCAGAUAGUGGGGGUGACCAUGGGUCAGGACUAAUUCUAGGCCUACAUCUUUUACAUAUAAAAUAUUAGUAAUGCCAGGGCAUGGGCAGAUUAACUUAUGACUGUAUCCCGUCUCGGAGGUCGGU
Molecule: non-coding RNA, 3327 nt
Organism: Nelumbo nucifera (sacred lotus)
Lineage: Eukaryota; Viridiplantae; Streptophyta; Magnoliopsida; Proteales; Nelumbonaceae
Source: RefSeq, a predicted model, not a curated record